GGAACUUCGAUAAAUCAUAACUUCCUCAUACGAAGUCAGAUUUGGGCGUUCUAUAUAUAUUCGGAAACCUCGUUUCAACUACUACAACAUUAACCAAAGAUAUUAAGUUUAUUUUACACUUAAAUUUUGACGCUUAUUUUUAUUCUUAAUUAAUCAAACCACAUAAUUAAGCAAUUAAGCACAAAACACAUAAUACUCAAAUAAUACAAUCUUAUUAUUUCAAAACGGGUUACAAAGGUUAACCUAGACUAUUACAUUGCUAAAAAUGGCAAGCCCGGAAACACAGGCGUUACAAUUCUCUCCACCUUAGAAUGAUUCCGUCCCCGGAAUCACACAUCAACAAACAAAUGCGGAUAGCGACUCAACAUGUCACUCUCCGUCUCCCAGGUGAGAUUCGGCCCAUUCGUGUGUUUCCAUCGGACAAGCACUAACCCAACCAUUUUGCGUCGCAACUUCUUAGUCUUUCGGUCAACAAUUGCCUCUGGUUCUUCAAUCAACCUUUUGUUCUCAUCAAUUCUCAAUUCAGAAAUUGGAAUUAUAUCGGGAACUUCUCCCGUGAACUUCCUCAAAUAACACACAUGAAAGGUGUUGUGAAUUCCAUUCAGUUCUUCGGGUAAUUCGAGCUUGUAAGCUUGAUUCCCAAUCCUCUGAAGGACUUUAAACGGUCCAAUAAACCUUGGACUCAACUUUCCCCUUUUACCAAAUCUUAUAAGUCCCUUCCACGGCGAGACUUUAAGCAAAACCGAAUCUCCAACCUCAAAAGUCAUCGGUCUUCGCUUCUUGUCAGCAUAGCUCUUUUGACGAUCUUGAGCUGCUAACAUUCUUUCCCUAAUUAUUUUCAACUUUUCAGCAGUUUGAUGAACCAUCUCCGGUCCCAUAAACUGCUUUUCCCCAGCCUCAAGCCAACAAGACGGCGUACGACACUUCUGUCCAUACAAAGCUUGAUAAGGUGCCAUCUUAAUGCUCGAGUGAAAACUAUUAUUAUAGGAAAAUUCUACCAACGGUAAAUGUUCAUCCCAAUUACCUAGGAAUUCCAAGGUACAUGCUCUCAGCAUAUCUUCAAGUGUUUGUAUUGUUCUUUCACUCUGACCAUCAGUCUGCGGAUGGUAAGCUGUGCUUAAACAUAACUUGGUACCCAUUUCCUCUUGUAGACUUUUCCAAAACCUUGAGGUGAAACGGCUAUCACGAUCCGAUACAAUCGUUAACGGAACACCGUGAAGCCUCACAAUUUCCUUCACGUAAGAAUUCGCAAGCUUUUCCAUAGACCAUUUCUCCCUGGCCGCUAUGAAAUGCGCACUCUUAGUGAAUCGAUCAACGACCACCCAAAUCAUGUCGUGACCAUUCUUUGUUCUGGGCAGUUUAGUGACAAAAUCCAUAGCAAUGUCUUCCCACUUACCCAUAGGCACAGGCAAUGGUUCUAAACUCCCGUAAGGUUUCUGAUGUUGUGUCUUGACUCUCGCACAAGUCACACACUCGGCCACAUACUUUGCAACAUCAAGCUUCAUCGUCGGCCACCAGUAGUAGGGUUUCAGGUCCCUAUACAUUUUAGUGCUACCCGGAUGAAUUGAGUACAUGGUUUUGUGAGCUUCUUCCAUCAGAAGAUCCCUAAUUCCUCCUGACUUAGGUACCCAAAUACGAUCUUGGAAUACCUUCAGUCCAUGACCGUUAGUACCAAACACCAACGUUUUACCCAAACGUUCCUCCUUUCGGUCAUUUUUCUCAGAAGCUUCCUCUUGAGCUUUCUUUAUACUUUCCACAAUAGUCGAGACAACUUCAAUUCUCAACGCUCUUGGCCUCUUCCUUUCAAGAUUGACUUUCCGACUGAGAGCAUCAGCAACAACAUUAGCUUUACCGGGGUGGUAAAGUAUCUCGCAGUCGUAGUCUUUAAGUAAUUCUAGCCAGCGUCGUUGCCUCAUAUUCAAUUCUUUCUGAUUAAAGAGGUAUUGGAGACUCUUAUGAUCAGUGAAAAGUUUGCACUUCGUGCCAUAGAGGUAAUGCCUCCAUAUUUUCAGAGCGAAAACUACCGCUGCCAACUCCAAAUCAUGAGUCGGGUAAUUCUUUUCAUGCUCUUUCAGCUGUCGAGACGCAUAUGCUAUCACCUUUUCUCUUUGGGUCAAAACACAACCCAAUCCAACACCAGACGCAUCGCUAUAAACAGCGAAGUCUUCAACUCCAUCGGGUAGAGAAAGUAUCGGUGCCUCGCAUAGCUUCUUCUUUAACUUCUCGAAUGCUUCUUUAUGCUUCUCACUCCAAGCAUAAGUAGCUCCUUUGUGGGUCAAAGCUGUUAAUGGAGUAGCAAUCGAAGAAAAGCCUUGGAUAAACCUUCGGUAAUAUCCGGCUAAUCCUAAAAAGCUUCGAAUCUCCGUGGGACUUUUCGGUUGUUCCCACUUCGUCACAGCUUCGAUCUUCGCUGGAUCAACCAUUAUCCCUUCUUGGUUGACCACGUGACCCAAGAAUUGGACCUCACGAAUCCAAAAAUCACAUUUGGAGAACUUCGCAUAAAGCUUCUCCUUCUUCAAAACUUCUAACACUUCUCGCAAGUGUCUGCCAUGCUCCUCCUGGCUUUUCGAGUAGAUCAGAAUGUCGUCUAUGAACACUAUCACGGAUUUAUCAAGGAAAGGAUUACAAACCCUAUUCAUCAAAUCCAUGAACGCUGCUGGAGCAUUGGUUAGUCCAAACGACAUAACCAAGAACUCGUAGUGUCCAUAUCUAGUUCUGAAUGCAGUCUUCUCGAUAUCUUGCUCUCUUACUUUCAGCUGAUGAUAUCCUGACCUAAGAUCGAUCUUCGAGAAAUAGCUCGAACCUUGCAAUUGAUCAAACAGGUCAUCAAUCCUCGGCAACGGAUAUCUAUUCUUUAUUGUUGCCUUGUUCAGCUCUCUGUAAUCGAUGCACAUUCUCAUACUUCCAUCUUUCUUCUUUACAAAUAACACCGGAGCUCCCCAGGGCGAUGAACUAGGUCUAAUGAAACCUUUGUCCAAUAACUCCUGAAGUUGCAUCAUCAGCUCCUUCAUCUCCGUCGGUGCUAAUCGAUAAGGUGCUUUUGCUAUUGGCGUGGUUCCUGGUAACAAGUCUAUUCUGAACUCCACUUGUCUAUCAGGUGGUAAUCCAGGAAGAUCCUCGGGAAAUACUUCCGGAUAAUCACACACCACUGGAAUGCUCUGCAUCACCUUCUUUUCUUUCUUAGCAUCAAUCACGAAUGCUAAAUAUGAUGUACAUCCCUUGGUCAAACACUUUCUGGCUUUCAUUAGAGAAAUGAUUCCAGAAUUCACUCUGCGUUUGUCCCCAUACACCAUAAACGAAUCUUUCCCAGGCGGGUUUACUUUAACUAUCUUCUUCUUGCACAAAAUUUCGGCAUCAUUGGCGCUAAGCCAAUCCAUUCCCAAGACGAUGUCGAAACCAUUUAGUUCGAUAGGCAAUAAUUCCUCGAGAAACUUAUUCCCAUUAAGGUCGAUCAAGACGUUUUUCAUACGAUGGCUAACAGGUACAAACUUGCCACUAGCUACUUCGACUAAUAAAGCAUUAUCUAGUCUAUCAACAGGCAAAGCUAGCUUUCUACCAAACUCAUGCGAAAUAAAGGAGUAGUUGGCUCCAGAAUCAAACAAUAUAUGAGCAGGUAAUUCGUUUACGAGAAAGGUACCUGAAGCGACAUCAGCUUCAUCUUUCGCAGCCUCAAGUGUCAUCUGGAAGGCUCUCGCCUUCGGCUUUGGUGGAAUGUUGGGCCUAGCUGCCUCCUUCUUCUUCGGACAGUCUUUCAAAAUAUGCCCCUCUUCAUUACACCCAAAACACAUCCUUUUGUUGUUCGGACAUUCAUUGGCAAAAUGUCCAACCUUUCCACACUUGUAGCAGGUCACAUCCUCGCUACAUUUCCCAAAGUGCUUUUUCUUACACUUAUCACACCACUUUGCUUCGCCUCCUUUUCCUCCAAACUUUUUCGAAUCAGAUUUCGAAAAUUUGCUCUUCUUACUGGAACCAGAUGUUCCUUCAAACUUCCUUUUCUCACCAACCUCAACCUUGACGGUGGUUCUCCCCUUGAUCAUGUUCUCCACAGACUUGGCAGCCCAGAUAGCUGCCUCUAGAGUAAGUGCCUGACGUACCGGCACCUCGUACUCCCAUGGAAGUCCCUUCGCAUACCGAUCCACCUUUGUCAGCUCGUCUGGAACGAUACGCAAGGCAAACUCCAUCUUAUCGGUGAAGUUAUUGGUGUACUCAUCCACUGACAUGCUACCCUUCGUCAAUGUCAAAAACUUGUUCUCCAACUCCAACAGAUUUUGAGCCGAGCAGAACUUGCGCUUGAACUGCACCAAGAACUCUGCCCAUGACAAUUGCAGUGGCUCAUUAGGGCUUAAGGUCUUCCCUAGAGUGUUCCACCAACGAACGGCUCCACCUCGGAAUUGUCGCACGGCAUAGAUAGUCUGCAACUUGCCUCUACAGCCACAUGUCAUAAAGGCUAACUCCAUUUCGGAGAUCCAAUCCAUAACCCCAAUCGGAUCCUCCUUUCCAUUGAAGGUCGAUGGUUUACAAGUCAAAAAGUCCUUGUACUUGCAUCCCAUUCCAUCAUUCCUUCCAUCAUGGUUAUCUUGCCUAACUAUCGGUGGGUUGGCUGGACCAACAGACCCACUGAAGUUUCCACCUUCCGAGUGCCCUUCAUUCAGUUCAGGCUCUUCCACACGAAUCGACAGUUCUUCACGAUUUUGUUGAAGCAACCGUCUAGUUUCAUCCAUCUGACGAUCCAACAUCGUCUGAAUCAUCAAUUGCACACCAGCCAUGGUUAUUGGCUCAGGUGCUGCUGCUACGACAGGUAUUGGCUCAAUCACUGGUGGUUGAUUCCUGUUUUCGUCAGCAUUUCCAACUCCACUUCUUGUUCUCACCAUUUUGAUCUACACCGAAUAAGGUGAAAUUAGAUCCUCAAUCAUGAUAGAUAUUCAAAUCAUCCUUAUCACUCCGAAACGUUUACAUGCUAGUUCUAAUAUCGUAGACGUACGCUUAGAAUCCUACACACAUAAGGUUUCUAGAUCCGGUCGGCAACAGACCAUAGAUCCGAACAAAUAAUAUCAUAUAUGGCAACAUAUAACAUUUAGCACAUAAAGCAUUUUAGGCAACUUUCCUAAAAUAAACUAGUGCUCGUGUCUAAAUCACAACAGACACACAUCUCAAAACUUCACUUAGCAUUCUAAGUUUAAGUCUAGAAAUCCUACAAAUUCCUAGUUCGCUUAAACUAAUGCUCUGAUACCAACUGUGACAUCCCCAAAAUCUCGGCCAGAAAAGACCGAUUUUCAUUUAUGCUUUUAAAUAUUUUCAGAGUAAAUCCUUUUGAUUUGAAAGAGUUGCGGAAUUUGUUCCCAAAAACAAAACAUGAUAAAACAUUGUUUACCGAAGCAUUUCAUAAAAGAAAUGUAUUUUCAUUAUAAUCAAAACUCGGGGUGUCAUGUUCCGAUACAGACCAAUAAGCAUAAACGAAUACAUUACAAGUCAUAUAACAAAUAUAAACAUAUGCAGACUUGUAAACAAAACAACUUGAUGGUUCAUCCAUCUCAUGCCCUUCCGCCACUACCUGUAAUACAAUUUAAAACUGAGUGGGUCAGGCUUGGGAGCCUGGUGAGCAUAUAGGGUUUUCAACCCACAAUAAAUAUCAUAUUUAAUUUUCACCAACCAACAAUAACCCAAUUACCCAUUCCCGUUAUUCUCACUUUAAUGUCCCUAAAACAACUAACAUAAGGGACCUAGUCUAAGAAUAUUUCAUCGGGGCGACAACACAUGCUUCGGGGGUACCUCAGCAAUAUAAGUCAAAUAAGGCAACCAUGAGGGGGAUGGAGUACAGCGAAUGAACACCCAAGUUCAUUAACACCUACAGGUGGCGAACCUGCUAAUGUUUCCACAAGACUGUCUAGAAUAGCCAGUGGUCGUCAUCUAAACUCCGCUAGAUGACUCAAUCAAACAACAACGAGGCCUCUCAUCUGUUUAUUACACACCAACUGUCUACCCAUGUUCUACCCAACAUAUUAGUAGAUAAAAAUAUACAUUUGUAUACAUAGUUUAAAGAAAACCUGUAUAGCAUGCUUUAAUCAACACAUAUAUCACAUAACAGAUGAGGCACACACACACAUAACACAUAUCUCAUAAAGAAAUAAGCAGAUCUAUAAGAUAGAAGAGAGUGAAUACUCAUUCACACAUAACACAACCAAAUAUAUACACAUAGCACGUAUUUUAUAUAAAAUACUUCAUAUUAUUGUAUUAGAAGAAAAUAACUACACACUCACUUGAUCAGAAGAUGAUCCGACAGCACUACGGCUUAUGGAAGUAGUAAUCCUCCGUAGAUCUGGAAGAUCUUCACAAAAAUCGAACUUUUCGCGGGCAGAGCUUCGGCUCAGGAACCGCACUUCUCGGGAUCUUCGGGAUCUCGGAUCUUGCUUCGGGACUAGAGUAUGAUACCGGGGCUUCGGGAUGGCUUCGGGGGUUUUCGCGUAGAGCUUCGACACAAAAACGAGAGGAAAAUGGUAAAAAUACCCGGAACCCUCGCAUCCUAUUUAUAGGAGGCUGAAGCCUCGGAGUACGCGGGGCGUACUGCUCCGAAGUCGUAAGCGCAUGCGUCAUUCGAAGUGUCGACACUACUCUGAGUACGCGGUAGCAUACCCUCGUACGCUGGGCGUACUCCGGAUCACACCGGUGACUCGUCUUUGGAUAAUACCUCCGAAUUUAUAAUUAAAUUUAAAUACAAAAUCAUUAAUAAACUUCGGAAAUUCAUAACUUCUUCAUACGAACUCCGUUUUUGACGUUCUUUAUAUCCACGGAAAGGUGAGACCACGCUCUACGACUUUCGUUUAGACUCCGUUGGCUAAUUUUGACUUUUUUUUAUUAAUUAUUUUUAAUAGGCCGGGACAUAAACUUUCGUUAUAAAUUCAUAACUUCUUCGUUUGACGUCCGUUCUCGCCUAACUUUUUUAUCGUUUUGAUACCAACAAUGAGAUCUUCGAUUCUCAUUUAGAUUGCUUCGGCUAACAACCGCUCGAUCUCAAAUCGAGUAAAACAGGCUGUGUACCGCUAAGCCGGAACUUCGAUAAAUCAUAACUUCCUCAUACGAAGUCAGAUUUGGGCGUUCUAUAUAUAUUCGGAAACCUCGUUUCAAUUACUACAACAUUAACCAAAGAUAUUAAGUUUAUUUUACACUUAAAUUUUGAUGCUUAUUUUUAUUCUUAAUUAAUCAAACCACAUAAUUAAGCAAUUAAGCACAAAACACAUAAUACUCAAAUAAUACAAUCUUAUUAUUUCAAAACGGGUUACAAAGGUUAACC
Molecule: long non-coding RNA, 7288 nt
Filed under: Lactuca sativa (garden lettuce)
Lineage: Eukaryota; Viridiplantae; Streptophyta; Magnoliopsida; Asterales; Asteraceae
Description: long non-coding RNA (LSAT_LNC003404)
Source: RNAcentral